This 440-nucleotide ribosomal RNA is filed under the name uncultured bacterium. RNAcentral describes it as "partial 16S ribosomal RNA". It matches the Rfam family "Bacterial small subunit ribosomal RNA", at positions 338 to 795 of the family's 1533-position model. The record is from RNAcentral.
CCUACGGGUGGCAGCAGUGGGGAAUAUUGCACAAUGGGGGAAACCCUGAUGCAGCGACGCCGCGUGAGUGAAGAAGUAUCUCGGUAUGUAAAGCUUCAUUAGCAGGGAAGAAAAUGACGGUACCUGACUAAGAAGCCCCGGCUAAUUACGUGCCAGCAGCCGCGGCAAUACGCAGGGGGCAAGCGUUAUCCGGAUUUACUGGGUGUAAAGGGAGCGUAGACGGGAGUACAAGUCUGGAGUGAAAUCCCGGGGCUUAACCCCGGAACUGCUUUGGAAACUGUGCGGCUGGAGUGCAGGAGAGGUAGGCGGAAUGCGUAGUGUAGCGGUGAAAUGCGUAGAUAUUACGAAGAACACCGAUGGCGAAGGCAGCUUACUGGACUGUAACUGACGUUGAGGCUCGAAAGCGUGGGGAGCAAACAGGAUUAGAUACCCUGGUAGUC